GAUGAACGCUGGCGGCGUGCCUAAUACAUGCAAGUCGAGCGAACAGACGAGGAGCUUGCUCCUCUGACGUUAGCGGCGGACGGGUGAGUAACACGUGGAUAACCUACCUAUAAGACUGGGAUAACUUCGGGAAACCGGAGCUAAUACCGGAUAAUAUAUUGAACCGCAUGGUUCAAUAGUGAAAGACGGUUUUGCUGUCACUUAUAGAUGGAUCCGCGCCGCAUUAGCUAGUUGGUAAGGUAACAGCUUACCAAGGCAACGAUGCGUAGCCGACCUGAGAGGGUGAUCGGCCACACUGGAACUGAGACACGGUCCAGACUCCUACGGGAGGCAGCAGUAGGGAAUCUUCCGCAAUGGGCGAAAGCCUGACGGAGCAACGCCGCGUGAGUGAUGAAGGUCUUCGGAUCGUAAAACUCUGUUAUUAGGGAAGAACAAAUGUGUAAGUAACUAUGCACGUCUUGACGGCACCUAAUCAGAAAGCCACGGCUAACUACGUG
RNAcentral lists this ribosomal RNA (497 nucleotides) under uncultured bacterium. RNAcentral's name for it is "partial 16S ribosomal RNA". It matches the Rfam family "Bacterial small subunit ribosomal RNA", at positions 28 to 507 of the family's 1533-position model. The record is from RNAcentral.